UUUACGGCCUGGCUUAGUCUAGGAGUAACUGAGAAUGUCAUUAGGAAUGAGUAGAUAGCUUAUCUUCCAGGCUUCAGUGGUCUAAAAUUAAAAACAAAAGGCAGAGGAUGGAGUGGAGCUUCGCACGUGUUUCCUCAAACGUCAGGGUUUGCAAGGUGCCUGCAUCGUGUCUGGAACAUAACAGACGAUCAACAAAUAUUAGAUCCCUUUGCUUCCCUUCUGUUGGAUGCAGGAUCAGUCCAGUUCCACAAUCAACUCCUUCCCUUUCACACAGCCUCCAUCUUGAUGUUCCUAAUAGUCUGAGUUCUACUCACGAGGCAUCACUGAGUUGAAUUUCAGCUUGCUUUCCUUCCUUUCUUCCCUCCCUCCUUCCUUCCUUCCACAAAUACUCUAUUAAUACAUAGUGGGCACCAUUGUGUUUUCUGGGUACAAAACAGUGAAUAGGAAAAAAAUCUCUGCCCUUACAGAGUUUACGUGCUAGCAGGGGAGACACACAAUAAACACAUAAACAUGAAAGGCAAAAUAUUGUAAGAUAGUGAAGAAAUAAAUAAGUAGGGCUUAGGAGUAGAGAGUGAGGGAGGGGGCCAUCAUUUUAGAUAGGGUAGUCUUGGUGGGCCUCUCAGAGCCUGAAUAAAGUGGGCCACACCACAAAUGUCCUAGAGCUCCAAGGUGCCAAAAUUUCACAGAAGCUUGUGGUGAAGUGAGGGAGAGGCCCACUGUCUAUUUUGUUAUGCUCACUUAUCUGGCCUAAGCUGUGCCAAAGAGAUGCCCCUAGGAAUACGAACUCUCUGUAGGUUGAUGGAACCAUAACUCGGUAAGGUCGCCAUAUUCCACCAAGAGUGCCUGUGAAGUAGAGAAAUUAGCCUGCAGAGCGAGAGAGAAGAAAGUGCUUGUAGAGUCAGAAGCAGAGAUGAGACCCUAACAGCUUUGCAGACUCUGUUUCCAGCCUUGUGGGCCUGGCUCCGUUCCUGCCCUUCAUUCUGUAAGACACUCUGUAACCUUACGAUAAAUGCCUCUUUUCCCUCUUUGUGCUUGACGUAGUUCAACUCGGAUUUUGUUGAUGAAAUCAGAGUCUUGAUCAAUUAUCACCCUCUCCUAUGCCUGAGGGAUGUGUAAUAAAUUUUAAAAGCAAAUAUAUAUAUAAAAGGAGGAAAUGAUGGUUAAUUUUAUAUGUCAACUUGACUAGGCUUAGGGAUGCCCACAUAGCUGGUAAAACAUUAUUUCUGGCAGUGUCUGUGAGAGUGUAUCUGGAAGAGAUUAGCAUUUGAUUCAGUAGACUGAGUAAGGAGAUCCAUCCUCAGCAACGUGGGUGUGCAUCAUCUAAUCUGUCGGGACCCGAAUGGAGCAAAAAGCUGGUGGAAGGGUGAAUUCUCUCUCUCUUCAUGAGCGUGGAUGUCCACCUUCUACUGCCCUCAGAUAUUGGAGCUCCUGGUUCUUUGAUCUUUCACUCAGGAACUUAGACCAGGGGUCCCCCAGUUCUCAGGCCUUCAGACCCAGACUGAAUUAUACCACUGGGUUUCCUGGUUCUCCAGCUUGCAGAUGGCAGAGCUUGGGACUUUUUAGCCUCUAUAACCACGUGAGCCAAUUCCUA
This is a long non-coding RNA of Equus caballus (horse), 1591 nucleotides long. The record is from Ensembl. NCBI's taxonomy places the organism in Eukaryota, Metazoa, Chordata, Mammalia, Perissodactyla, Equidae.